RNAcentral lists this ribosomal RNA (744 nucleotides) under uncultured bacterium. RNAcentral's name for it is "bacterial SSU rRNA". It matches the Rfam family "Bacterial small subunit ribosomal RNA", at positions 8 to 796 of the family's 1533-position model. The record is from RNAcentral.
AGAGUUUGAUCCUGGCUCAGAACGAACGCUGGCGGCAGGCUUAAUACAUGCAAGUCGAACGGGCGUAGCAAUACGUCAGUGGCAGACGGGUGAGUAACGCGUGGGAACGUACCCCUCGGUUCGGAAUAACUCAGGGAAACUUGAGCUAAUACCGGAUACGGCUUAGCGGCGAAAGAUUUAUCGCCGAGGGAUCGGCCCGCGUCCGAUUAGCUAGUUGGUGAGGUAACGGCUCACCAAGGCGACGAUCGGUAGCUGGUCUGAGAGGAUGAUCAGCCACAUUGGGACUGAGACACGGCCCAAACUCCUACGGGAGGCAGCAGUAGGGAAUAUUGGACAAUGGGCGAAAGCCUGAUCCAGCCAUGCCGCGUGAGUGAUGAAGGCCUUAGGGUUGUAAAGCUCUUUCGUCAGGGACGAUAAUGACGGUACCUGAAGAAGAAGCCCCGGCUAACUUCGUGCCAGCAGCCGCGGUAAUACGAAGGGGGCUAGCGUUGUUCGGAAUCACUGGGCGUAAAGCGCAUGUAGGCGGGUCUUUAAGUCAGGGGUGAAAUGCCAAGGCUCAACCUUGGAACUGCCUUUGAUACUGGAGACCUUGAGUCCGGGAGAGGUGAGUGGAACUGCGAGUGUAGAGGUGAAAUUCGUAGAUAUUCGCAAGAACACCAGUGGCGAAGGCGGCUCACUGGCCCGGUACUGACGCUGAGAUGCGAAAGCGUGGGGAGCAAACAGGAUUAGAUACCCUAGUAGUCC